UUAGUGAUCAUACCCUGGGGAGUAUAGUGAUUAUAGCAAUCCCCAGAGUGUAUUUCUCCAAUCCCCCAAACAUGAGCCAUGGCUUAAUGCUGGAACAAGACUGAUUUACUGGCACACAGAACUCACAAUUUAUGCAACACAAAACUCCUCCUCUGGGCCAGGCUAGAUAAUUGAGUUUCUACAAUACACAAAGUUCAAUUAUCUG
Molecule: non-coding RNA, 205 nt
Organism: Pelobates cultripes (western spadefoot toad)
Lineage: Eukaryota; Metazoa; Chordata; Amphibia; Anura; Pelobatidae
Source: the annotation of a GenBank genome assembly